RNAcentral lists this unclassified non-coding RNA (278 nucleotides) under uncultured fungus. RNAcentral describes it as "sequence contains ITS1". Lineage: Eukaryota; Fungi. The record is from RNAcentral.
UACAAAGAUUAAAGGGUCAAUCAAGUCCCAAUAAAUUGACAUUCUGAACAUGCUUAACUGAGUUUGUAAGAACAUAGAAGCUCUAAUCCAAAACAUUAUUCCACAAGAACUCCCUAGAGAGACUUGCAAAAAGCCGAUUUGAAACGAGACAUUCUACAAAAGGUGCACAGGUGGAUGAAUGAACUUAAGAAAUACGUGCACAUGCCUUGUUAAAAGCCAGCAACAGUACCUCCCAAAAGCUUUCAAUAAUGAUCCUUCCGCAGGUUCACCUACGGAAA